UUGGUUUAAAUCACUAUGGAUCUACACUUUGAAAAUUCAACCCACACAAAGUGGUGAAACAUAUAUUAAUUUCAUCCGA
This 79-nucleotide microRNA precursor is filed under the name Medicago truncatula (barrel medic). RNAcentral's name for it is "MIR5269 microRNA precursor family". It matches the Rfam family "MIR5269 microRNA precursor family". The record is from Rfam by way of RNAcentral. Lineage: Eukaryota; Viridiplantae; Streptophyta; Magnoliopsida; Fabales; Fabaceae.